RNAcentral lists this ribosomal RNA (253 nucleotides) under uncultured bacterium. Its description in RNAcentral is "partial 16S ribosomal RNA". It matches the Rfam family "Bacterial small subunit ribosomal RNA", at positions 524 to 776 of the family's 1533-position model. The record is from RNAcentral.
UACGUAGGGUGCGAGCGUUGUCCGGAAUUAUUGGGCGUAAAGAGCUUGUAGGCGGUCUGUCGCGUCUGCUGUGAAAAUCCGGGGCUCAACCCCGGGCCUGCAGUGGGUACGGGCAGACUAGAGUGCGGUAGGGGAGACUGGAAUUCCUGGUGUAGCGGUGAAAUGCGCAGAUAUCAGGAGGAACACCGGUGGCGAAGGCGGGUCUCUGGGCCGAUACUGACGCUGAGGAGCGAAAGCGUGGGGAGCGAACAGG